Molecule: non-coding RNA, 125 nt
Organism: Triticum aestivum (bread wheat)
Lineage: Eukaryota; Viridiplantae; Streptophyta; Magnoliopsida; Poales; Poaceae
Source: Rfam
GAAGUACUCCCUCCGUCCGAAAAUACUUGUUAGAGAAGUGGAUAAAAAUGGAUGUAUCUAGAACUAAAAUACAUCUAGAUACAUCCAUUUCUCUGAAUAGUAUUUACUGACGGAGGGAGUACAUU